UACGUAGGGGCGUAGCGUUGUCCGGAAUCAUUGGGCGUAAAGAGCGUGUAGGCGGUCCGGUAAGUCCGUUGUGAAAGUCAGGGGCUCAACCCUUGAAAUGCCGGCGGAUACCUGUCGGGCUAGUAGUCCGGAAGAGGCAAGUGGAAUUCCCGGUGUGAGCGGUGAAAUGACGCAGAGUAGUACGGGAGGAACACCUGAUGGCGGAAGGCAGCUUGCGUGGGACGGUACUGACGCUGGAGACGCGAAAGCGUGGGAGCAAACAGGAUUGAG
RNAcentral lists this ribosomal RNA (270 nucleotides) under uncultured bacterium. RNAcentral describes it as "partial 16S ribosomal RNA". It matches the Rfam family "Bacterial small subunit ribosomal RNA", at positions 524 to 782 of the family's 1533-position model. The record is from RNAcentral.